Non-coding RNA from Pocillopora verrucosa, 258 nucleotides. The record is from RefSeq and is a predicted model, not a curated record. Lineage: Eukaryota; Metazoa; Cnidaria; Anthozoa; Scleractinia; Pocilloporidae.
AUAUUGUGGCUGUAUCUUUGACACAUUUGUGCUUGUACACGUGAAAUUUUGGCACGUCGACGAUCUUCCUACCCUACAUUCAAGGCUGGCAUAAUGGUAGUUGUGAAAUUUUGGAUCCUUCUUGCUGUAACAGUGUUUGUGGCAACUAUCAUCACUGCGAGAAACGUUCCUGCGGUUGAAACCGCUACCGAAUGGCCCUCAUUGAUAAAAAGGGAAGCACUUGCCGUAUCAAGCAACCGAACUGAACUUCAAAAGAAG